RNAcentral lists this ribosomal RNA (430 nucleotides) under Pseudomonas sp. Its description in RNAcentral is "bacterial SSU rRNA". It matches the Rfam family "Bacterial small subunit ribosomal RNA", at positions 145 to 591 of the family's 1533-position model. The record is from RNAcentral. Lineage: Bacteria; Pseudomonadati; Pseudomonadota; Gammaproteobacteria; Pseudomonadales; Pseudomonadaceae.
AACGUAGGGAAACUUACGCUAAUACCGCUUACGACCUACGGAAAGCAGGGGACCUUCGGGCUUGCGCGAUUGAAUGACCGAUGUCGGAUUACUAUUGGCGGGGUAAAGGCCCACCAGGCGACGAUCCGUAGSUGGUCUGAGAGGAUGAUCGCCCACUGGAACUGAGACACGGCCAGACUCCUACGAGGCAGCAGUGGGGAAUAUUGGACUGGGCGCAAGCCUGAUCCASCCAUACCGCGUGGGUGAAGAAGGSCUUCGGGUUGUAAAGCCCUUUUGUUGGGAAAGAAAUCCAUCUGGCUAAUACCCGGGUGGGAUGACGGUACCCAGAAUAAGCACCGGUAGCUUCGUGCCACACCGCGGUAAUACGAAGGUGCAAGCGUUACUCGGAAUUACUGGGCGUAAAGCGUGCGUAUGUGGUCGUUUAUCCGUU